This 3035-nucleotide ribosomal RNA is filed under the name Salmonella enterica subsp. enterica. RNAcentral describes it as "bacterial LSU rRNA". It matches the Rfam family "Bacterial large subunit ribosomal RNA". Lineage: Bacteria; Pseudomonadati; Pseudomonadota; Gammaproteobacteria; Enterobacterales; Enterobacteriaceae. RNAcentral also lists the same sequence under 2 other names. The record is from RNAcentral.
GGGUUGUGAGGUUAAGCGACCAAGCGUACACGGUGGAUGCCCUGGCAGUCAGAGGCGAUGAAGGACGUGCUAAUCUGCGAAAAGCGCCGGUAAGGUGAUAUGAACCGUUAUAACCGGCGAUGUCCGAAUGGGGAAACCCAGUGUGACUCGUCACACUAUCAUUAACUGAAUCCAUAGGUUAAUGAGGCGAACCGGGGGAACUGAAACAUCUAAGUACCCCGAGGAAAAGAAAUCAACCGAGAUUCCCCCAGUAGCGGCGAGCGAACGGGGAGCAGCCCAGAGCCUGAAUCAGCAUAUGUGUUAGUGGAAGCGUCUGGAAAGGCGCGCGAUACAGGGUGACAGCCCCGUACACAAAAGCGCAUGUGCUGUGAGCUCGAUGAGUAGGGCGGGACACGUGGUAUCCUGUCUGAAUAUGGGGGGACCAUCCUCCAAGGCUAAAUACUCCUGACUGACCGAUAGUGAACCAGUACCGUGAGGGAAAGGCGAAAAGAACCCCGGCGAGGGGAGUGAAACAGAACCUGAAACCGUGUACGUACAAGCAGUGGGAGCCCCACCACCAAAGCGUUUCGCUUUGCGUGGUGCGCAAAAUGCGUAACGACAGCACGAUUGCGGUUAACGGAGCGUAAGCGACGUUCAACACAAGAAUCAGGCAGUGGAGCGUUUUGGGGUGGGGUGACUGCGUACCUUUUGUAUAAUGGGUCAGCGACUUAUAUUCUGUAGCAAGGUUAACCGAAUAGGGGAGCCGGAGGGAAACCGAGUCUUAAUUGGGCGUUAAGUUGCAGGGUAUAGACCCGAAACCCGGUGAUCUAGCCAUGGGCAGGUUGAAGGUUGGGUAACACUAACUGGAGGACCGAACCGACUAAUGUUGAAAAAUUAGCGGAUGACCUGUGGCUGGGGGUGAAAGGCCAAUCAAACCGGGAGAUAGCUGGUUCUCCCCGAAAGCUAUUUAGGUAGCGCCUCGUGAAUUCAUCUCCGGGGGUAGAGCACUGUUUCGGCCAGGGGGCCAUCCCGGCUUACCAACCCGAUGCAAACUGCGAAUACCGGAGAAUGUUAUCACGGGAGACACACGGCGGGUGCUAACGUCCGUCGUGAAGAGGGAAACAACCCAGACCGCCAGCUAAGGUCCCAAAGUCAUGGUUAAGUGGGAAACGAUGUGGGAAGGCCCAGACAGCCAGGAUGUUGGCUUAGAAGCAGCCAUCAUUUAAAGAAAGCGUAAUAGCUCACUGGUCGAGUCGGCCUGCGCGGAAGAUGUAACGGGGCUAAACCAUGCACCGAAGCUGCGGCAGCGACACUGUGUGUUGUUGGGUAGGGGAGCGUUCUGUAAGCCUGCGAAGGUGGCCUGUGAGGGUUGCUGGAGGUAUCAGAAGUGCGAAUGCUGACAUAAGUAACGAUAAUGCGGGUGAAAAACCCGCACGCCGGAAGACCAAGGGUUCCUGUCCAACGUUAAUCGGGGCAGGGUGAGUCGACCCCUAAGGCGAGGCCGAAAGGCGUAGUCGAUGGGAAACAGGUUAAUAUUCCUGUACCUGGUGUUACUGCGAAGGGGGGACGGAGAAGGCUAUGUUGGCCGGGCGACGGUUGUCCCGGUUUAAGCGUGUAGGCUGGUUUUCCAGGCAAAUCCGGAAAAUCAAGGCUGAGGCGUGACGACGAGGUACUACGGUGCUGAAGCAACAAAUGCCCUGCUUCCAGGAAAAGCCUCUAAGCCUCAGGUAACAUCAGAUCGUACCCGAAACCGACACAGGUGGUCAGGUAGAGAAUACCAAGGCGCUUGAGAGAACCCGGGUGAAGGAACUAGGCAAAAUGGUGCCGUAACUUCGGGAGAAGGCACGCUGACACGUAGGUGAAGCGGUUUACCCGUGGAGCUGAAGUCAGUCGAAGAUACCAGCUGGCUGCAACUGUUUAUUAAAAACACAGCACUGUGCAAACACGAAAGUGGACGUAUACGGUGUGACGCCUGCCCGGUGCCGGAAGGUUAAUUGAUGGGGUCAGCGCAAGCGAAGCUCCUGAUCGAAGCCCCGGUAAACGGCGGCCGUAACUAUAACGGUCCUAAGGUAGCGAAAUUCCUUGUCGGGUAAGUUCCGACCUGCACGAAUGGCGUAAUGAUGGCCAGGCUGUCUCCACCCGGGACUCAGUGAAAUUGAACUCGCUGUGAAGAUGCAGUGUACCCGCGGCAAGACGGAAAGACCCCGUGAACCUUUACUAUAGCUUGACACUGAACACUGGUCCUUGAUGUGCAGGAUAGGUGGGAGGCUUUGAAGUGUGGACGCCAGUCUGCAUGGAGCCGUCCUUGAAAUACCACCCUUUAAUGGCUGGUGUUCUAACGUAGACCCGUGAACCGGGUUGCGGACAGUGUCUGGUGGGUAGUUUGACUGGGGCGGUCUCCUCCUAAAGCGUAACGGAGGAGCACGAAGGUUGGCUAAUCCUGGUCGGACAUCAGGAGGUUAGUGCAAUGGCAUAAGCCAGCUUGACUGCGAGCGUGACGGCGCGAGCAGGUGCGAAAGCAGGUCAUAGUGAUCCGGUGGUUCUGAAUGGAAGGGCCAUCGCUCAACGGAUAAAAGGUACUCCGGGGAUAACAGGCUGAUACCGCCCAAGAGUUCAUAUCGACGGCGGUGUUUGGCACCUCGAUGUCGGCUCAUCACAUCCUGGGGCUGAAGUAGGUCCCAAGGGUAUGGCUGUUCGCCAUUUAAAGUGGUACGCGAGCUGGGUUUAGAACGUCGUGAGACAGUUCGGUCCCUAUCUGCCGUGGGCGCUGGAGAACUGAGGGGGGCUGCUCCUAGUACGAGAGGACCGGAGUGGACGCAUCACUGGUGUUCGGGUUGUCAUGCCAAUGGCACUGCCCGGUAGCUAAAUGCGGAAGAGAUAAGUGCUGAAAGCAUCUAAGCACGAAACUUGCCCCGAGAUGAGUUCUCCCUGAGACUACAAGUCUCCUGAAGGAACGUUGAAGACGACGACGUUGAUAGGCCGGGUGUGUAAGCGCAGCGAUGCGUUGAGCUAACCGGUACUAAUGAACCGUGAGGCUUAACCUUACAACGCCGAAG